CAUAAAUAUUAAAGUGAACAAUGUAUACAUGCAUUCAUGGUAUGUUACAAGGUCAAGCAUUUUAAUAUCCAUAAAUAAAACAAAAAAAAGAUGUAAUGCCAAUUACAUACUUCUAUUUGGCCUGACAAUAUCAUUUCUAUCAUUGAAACUCAAAGAAAAGCAAUGAAUGCCCUCUCCGACACCCUGAGAGGACACCUCCUCCACAGCAAGAGGAAACUGUACAAAAACAAAUUUGACAUCUGUUUAACAAAUGCUAAGUAUAAUCCUGCAUAAACUAACAGAAUAAGAAACUGGUAGUGCAGCAUAAAACAAAUGAGAAGAGUUCUCAAAAUAACAACACCUCAAAAUGUGACUUUAUCCGGGUAUAUAUUUGGGAAAAUCAUGCAAAAUGUUACACCUUCCUGGGGAAAAACUAGUGACAUAAAUUACGGAAUGACAUCAUGGUAUCAGACAAAUGAAGAUUCAGCGAAUUUAAACUUCCAGUCAUUUACAAAGUUCAAAAAAUGACGUGGACAUCAAAAACUUCCAAUUAUAGGUGUCAGACAUGGUUUUCUAGGCCACACAUAUCCAUCAAUAGUGCAGUAAAGACUGCUCAGAGCCCAGUGCAUGUAUCAUCAUUCACUAUAACACUAAAAACAAUUUGCAACAUAAGACAAAAAAUAAAUAGACACUAUAACACUGAAAAGACUAAACAAUCCCUUAAACGACAUGUUAAAAUUAUAAAUAAAAAUGGAAUCCAAAUCCCUCGAAUCUAAUAACAAAAUUGCAAUGCCCUCAGAUCUCAUAGCUUAUAAGGAUCAUGUGUGGUUUGUUACAUUAGUUUCGUUCACAGCCUUCUUGCACCAUAGAAUAAAUAAAUAAUUAAUAUAUAUAUAUAUAUAUACACACGCACACAUACACAAAGAGAGAGUGAGAGAAAGAGAGAGAGAAUGGUGCAUGUCCGGCUAUGAACAAAACUAAGUUACCACUCAAUUAUCUAUUUGUGCAUCAUUGGGCAGCAACACCAUAAACGAUACUUUCAACAAAUUUUCGAAAUUUCAUUUCAGAGAGCAAAAAUGUGUGCCCCACAGAUUUAAAAAUACCAACACAUCAAAUUUGAAACAAAAUAGAUGAAAAAAGUAACCACUACUUCAUUUAGUUUCAGUUAUUGGAUAUAUACAUAACAUAAUAAUAGCAAAUGAAGUUGAUGAGAAAAUCAUGUUACAAAAAUGACACUGAUUUCUAGGCUACUUAAAUUUAUAACCAUCUACGUGGUUGAAGUGUUCAUGUAGAUAUCAACAACAUAAAAUUGGAAGUGUCAGACAUGGUUUUCUAGGCCACGCAUAUCCAUCAAUAGUGCAAUCAAAAAAUUGCUCAGAGCCCAGUGCAUAUAUCAUCAUUCACUGCAGUUUUAGAAUAAUAAGUAAAACCAACCCAAAACAAAUAAAUAAAAGAAGACCACACAUAAAGAAAACAAAACAAAAACAAAAGAUAAAUGAAUGCAAUGGAAAAGUAAAACGCAGAAUUUAAAUCCAACGGCAUAGAGAGGAUAACAACGAUGAAGGUUGGAAGGUGAUUAUGCAAACACUAAGCAGAUACUGUUGACUAAUCUGGGAAGUGUUAUGCAGAUAUAGCCGCUAACUAGGGUUUGAUUUAAC
Molecule: long non-coding RNA, 1637 nt
Filed under: Lupinus angustifolius (narrow-leaved blue lupine)
Lineage: Eukaryota; Viridiplantae; Streptophyta; Magnoliopsida; Fabales; Fabaceae
Description: long non-coding RNA (LANG_LNC001419)
Source: RNAcentral